UACGGGGGGAGCAAGCGUUGUUCGGAUUUACUGGGCGUAAAGGGCGCGUAGGCGGUCCCUCAAGUCAGGCGUGAAAGCCCCGGGCUCAACCUGGGAACCGCGCUUGAGACUGAUGGGCUAGAGUUCGGGAGAGGAUGGUGGAAUUCCCAGUGUAGAGGUGAAAUUCGUAGAUAUUGGGAAGAACACCGAUGGCGAAGGCAGCCAUCUGGACCGACACUGACGCUGAGGCGCGAAAGCGUGGGGAGCAAACAGG
Molecule: ribosomal RNA, 253 nt
Filed under: uncultured bacterium
Lineage: Bacteria
Description: partial 16S ribosomal RNA
Rfam family: Bacterial small subunit ribosomal RNA
Source: RNAcentral